CUGCCUGGUAGUGGGGGACAACGUUUCGAAAGGAACGCUAAUACCGCAUACGUCCUACGGAGAAAGCAGGGACCUUCGGGCCUUGCGCUAUCAGAUGAGCCUAGGUCGGAUUAGCUAGUUGGUGAGGUAAUGGCUCACCAAGGCGACGAUCCGUAACUGGUCUGAGAGGAUGAUCAGUCACACUGGAACUGAGACACGGUCCAGACUCUACGGGAGGCAGCAGCC
This 225-nucleotide ribosomal RNA is filed under the name uncultured Pseudomonas sp. Its description in RNAcentral is "partial 16S ribosomal RNA". It matches the Rfam family "Bacterial small subunit ribosomal RNA", at positions 126 to 355 of the family's 1533-position model. The record is from RNAcentral. Lineage: Bacteria; Pseudomonadati; Pseudomonadota; Gammaproteobacteria; Pseudomonadales; Pseudomonadaceae.